This 1249-nucleotide ribosomal RNA is filed under the name Microbacterium sp. YL-1. Its description in RNAcentral is "bacterial SSU rRNA". It matches the Rfam family "Bacterial small subunit ribosomal RNA", at positions 87 to 1349 of the family's 1533-position model. Lineage: Bacteria; Bacillati; Actinomycetota; Actinomycetes; Micrococcales; Microbacteriaceae. The record is from RNAcentral.
UGGGAUCAGUGGCGAACGGGUGAGUAACACGUGAGCAACCUGCCCCUGACUCUGGGAUAAGCGCUGGAAACGGCGUCUAAUACUGGAUAUGUGACGUGACCGCAUGGUCUGCGUCUGGAAAGAAUUUCGGUUGGGGAUGGGCUCGCGGCCUAUCAGCUUGUUGGUGAGGUAAUGGCUCACCAAGGCGUCGACGGGUAGCCGGCCUGAGAGGGUGACCGGCCACACUGGGACUGAGACACGGCCCAGACUCCUACGGGAGGCAGCAGUGGGGAAUAUUGCACAAUGGGCGCAAGCCUGAUGCAGCAACGCCGCGUGAGGGACGACGGCCUUCGGGUUGUAAACCUCUUUUAGCAGGGAAGAAGCGAAAGUGACGGUACCUGCAGAAAAAGCGCCGGCUAACUACGUGCCAGCAGCCGCGGUAAUACGUAGGGCGCAAGCGUUAUCCGGAAUUAUUGGGCGUAAAGAGCUCGUAGGCGGUUUGUCGCGUCUGCUGUGAAAUCCGGAGGCUCAACCUCCGGCCUGCAGUGGGUACGGGCAGACUAGAGUGCGGUAGGGGAGAUUGGAAUUCCUGGUGUAGCGGUGGAAUGCGCAGAUAUCAGGAGGAACACCGAUGGCGAAGGCAGAUCUCUGGGCCGUAACUGACGCUGAGGAGCGAAAGGGUGGGGAGCAAACAGGCUUAGAUACCCUGGUAGUCCACCCCGUAAACGUUGGGAACUAGUUGUGGGGUCCAUUCCACGGAUUCCGUGACGCAGCUAACGCAUUAAGUUCCCCGCCUGGGGAGUACGGCCGCAAGGCUAAAACUCAAAGGAAUUGACGGGGACCCGCACAAGCGGCGGAGCAUGCGGAUUAAUUCGAUGCAACGCGAAGAACCUUACCAAGGCUUGACAUAUACGAGAACGGGCCAGAAAUGGUCAACUCUUUGGACACUCGUAAACAGGUGGUGCAUGGUUGUCGUCAGCUCGUGUCGUGAGAUGUUGGGUUAAGUCCCGCAACGAGCGCAACCCUCGUUCUAUGUUGCCAGCACGUAAUGGUGGGAACUCAUGGGAUACUGCCGGGGUCAACUCGGAGGAAGGUGGGGAUGACGUCAAAUCAUCAUGCCCCUUAUGUCUUGGGCUUCACGCAUGCUACAAUGGCCGGUACAAAGGGCUGCAAUACCGCGAGGUGGAGCGAAUCCCAAAAAGCCGGUCCCAGUUCGGAUUGAGGUCUGCAACUCGACCUCAUGAAGUCGGAGUCGCUAGUAAUCGCAGAU